This 490-nucleotide ribosomal RNA is filed under the name uncultured bacterium. Its description in RNAcentral is "partial 16S ribosomal RNA". It matches the Rfam family "Bacterial small subunit ribosomal RNA", at positions 28 to 507 of the family's 1533-position model. The record is from RNAcentral.
GAUGAACGCUAGCUACAGGCUUAACACAUGCAAGUCGAGGGGCAGCAUGGUCUUAGCUUGCUAAGGCCGAUGGCGACCGGCGCACGGGUGAGUAACACGUAUCCAACCUGCCGUCUACUCUUGGACAGCCUUCUGAAAGGAAGAUUAAUACAAGAUGGCAUCAUGAGUCCGCAUGUUCACAUGAUUAAAGGUAUUCCGGUAGACGAUGGGGAUGCGUUCCAUUAGAUAGUAGGCGGGGUAACGGCCCACCUAGUCUUCGAUGGAUAGGGGUUCUGAGAGGAAGGUCCCCCACAUUGGAACUGAGACACGGUCCAAACUCCUACGGGAGGUAGCAGUGAGGAAUAUUGGUCAAUGGGCGCAGGCCUGAACCAGCCAAGUAGCGUGAAGGAUGACUGCCCUAUGGGUUGUAAACUUCUUUUAUAAAGGAAUAAAGUCGGGUAUGUAUACCCGUUUGCAUGUACUUUAUGAAUAAGGAUCGGCUAACUCCGUG